UUUCUGCUUGUUUUGCACAGGAGUGUCUGCAUGAAUGAUUUGCUGGGAGCAGGUAUGUCCAAACAGGUGAGGAGUUCAAUUAUCUUUUCGGCCCCGAUGGCAGUGUCUUGAAUGGCAUAUGCGAGAGCGAUGUUGGUUGCUGAUGGAUUACGGCCUGGUCCCUCUUGAUGAAUCUCAUGAUACAGGUUGAAUGUCGGAGAGGUAUCUGCAGCUUUCUGACCGUGGCCGAAGAAUACACGAGGAUCCACUCUCCCCAUCACAGUCGGGAGUUAUGUAGGAUUGGCAGUCUAAACUUGGUCCUGUUACCAGGGCAUGGUCCCCAGCGGAUAGCCGGACAAAGGAGCGUUUACGAGUUGUCUCUUGGCCCUCUGAUGAAGCCUUGGAUCUGUUAGUAUUACCUUGCCGAAAAAACCUCCUGCUGGGCGGCUUCCUUUGGCGGAGUUCCCUCCCUUUGUUCCAUGGCCUUUGGUUUUUCUGAAACAUUUUGAUAACUUCUGGGCCCAUAACUCUGGUGUAAGGAGAAGGAUUUCAUCGAAACUUCUAGGAGACAUUGGAAAUACCCACAGGUGCCAACCUACCAAGUUUCAUCAAAAUCAAUAAAGGUAUGUGAAAUUAUUAGGUCACAUACCACUAUUUUUACCCCGUGCUCAUUGAUCAGUCAAGUAGUUCUAUUCUAAAAAUGUAUGUUUUUUUCCAAAAAUUCCCAGGGGUGCUAAAUGGGCGAAUUUGGCGCCUUUUAGGGCAUGGAUGGAAAGAAGAAGGUUUGAAAAAAAAUACUAGCUAAAAAUAAUUGGGAAAAUCGAUCUUUAAAGGC
Molecule: long non-coding RNA, 814 nt
Organism: Magallana angulata
Lineage: Eukaryota; Metazoa; Mollusca; Bivalvia; Ostreida; Ostreidae
Exons: 3
Source: RefSeq, a predicted model, not a curated record